CCUACGGGAGGCAGCAGUGAGGAAUAUUGGUCAAUGGACGAGAGUCUGAACCAGCCAAGCAGCGUGAAGGAAGACUGCCCUAUGGGUUGUAAACUUCUUUUAUAUGGGAAUAAAACGUUCCACGUGUGGGAUUUUGUAUGUACCAUAUGAAUAAGGAUCGGCUAACUCAGUGCCAGCAGCCGCGGUAAUACGGAGGAUCCGGGCGUUAUCCGGAUUUAUUGGGUUUAAAGGGCGCGUAGGUGGAUUGUUAAGUCAGUUGGGAAAGUUUUCGGCUCAACCGUAAAAUUGCAGUUGAAACUGGCAGUCUUGAGUAAAGGAGAGGUAUGCGGAAUUCGUGGUGUAGCGGUGAAAUGCUUAGAUAUCACGAAGAACUCCGAUUGCGAAGGCAGUUCACUGGACUGCAACUGACGCUGAGGCUCGAAAGUGUGGGUAUCAAACAGGAUUAGAUACCCUAGUAGUC
RNAcentral lists this ribosomal RNA (460 nucleotides) under uncultured bacterium. Its description in RNAcentral is "partial 16S ribosomal RNA". It matches the Rfam family "Bacterial small subunit ribosomal RNA", at positions 338 to 795 of the family's 1533-position model. The record is from RNAcentral.